CGCCAGACUCCUACGGGAGGCAGCAGUGGGGAAUAUUGCACAAUGGGGGAAACCCUGAUGCAGCGACGCCGCGUGAGUGAAGAAGUAUUUCGGUAUGUAAAGCUCUAUCAGCAGGGAAGAAAAUGGCGGUACCUGACUAAGAAGCCCCGGCUAACUACGUGCCAGCAGCCGCGGUAAUACGUAGGGGGCAAGCGUUAUCCGGAUUUACUGGGUGUAAAGGGGGCGCAGACGGCGAUGCAAGCCAGGAGUGAAAGCCCGGGGCCCAACCCCGGGACUGCUCUUGGAACUGCGUGGCUGGAGUGCAGGAGGGGCAGGCGGAAUUCCUGGUGUAGCGGUGAAAUGCGUAGAUAUCAGGAGGAACACCGGUGGCGAAGGCGGCCUGCUGGACUGCAACUGACGUUGAGGCCCGAAAGCGUGGGGAGCAAACAGGAUUAGAUACCCGAGUAA
RNAcentral lists this ribosomal RNA (447 nucleotides) under uncultured bacterium. Its description in RNAcentral is "bacterial SSU rRNA". It matches the Rfam family "Bacterial small subunit ribosomal RNA", at positions 329 to 793 of the family's 1533-position model. The record is from RNAcentral.